AGUGAACGCUGGCGGUAGGCCUAACACAUGCAAGUCGAACGGCAGCACAGUAAGAGCUUGCUCUUACGGGUGGCGAGUGGCGGACGGGUGAGGAACACAUCGGAAUCUACUUUUUCGUGGGGGAUAACGUAGGGAAACUUACGCUAAUACCGCAUACGACCUACGGGUGAAAGCAGGGGAUCUUCGGACCUUGCGCGAUUGAAUGAGCCGAUGUCGGAUUAGCUAGUUGGCGGGGUAAAGGCCCACCAAGGCGACGAUCCGUAGCUGGUCUGAGAGGAUGAGCAGCCACAGUGGAACUGAGACGCGGUCCAGACUCCUACGGGAGGCAGCGGUGGGGAAUAUUGGACAAUGGGCGCAAGCCUGAUCCAGCCAUGCCGCGUGGGUGAAGAAGGCCUUCGUGUUGUAAAGCCCUUUUGUUGGGAAAGAAAAGCAGCAGGUUAAUACCCCGCUGUUCUGACGGUACCCAAAGAAUAAGCACCGGCUAACUUCGU
This 491-nucleotide ribosomal RNA is filed under the name uncultured bacterium. RNAcentral describes it as "partial 16S ribosomal RNA". It matches the Rfam family "Bacterial small subunit ribosomal RNA", at positions 29 to 506 of the family's 1533-position model. The record is from RNAcentral.